CCCCAUAUCCUCUUUUCAUCCACAGCCAGGUAGGGGUAUACCGUGGAGGGUAGUACUAAUGUCUUAGGACUUUUAUGCCGCCAUCCCAAAGUCAGUAUAUCCCAUUUGACCUUCUGACAAACACAAACCGAAAGAGUCAGGGAGUUAGGCUCCAACCUGUCUUAAUUGAAGACGUCAAUCAUCGUCACAGACGGCGCCUUUAUCAGUGAGAAAUAAUCUCUCGAUUCUUGAAAUCAAUGAAAAUCUGCACACAAAUAUUAUGUUACGAUUAGUUGUGAAUAGUUGAAUGUUAAUUAUUUUAUCAGGACAAUUCUAUUUGUGAAAUACCCUAUAUAUAGUUCCAAUCGAAUAGACAGCCGACUCGUGAAUUUUUUUGAAAGAAAAAAGUGAACGUUUUUUCACCGUCAGUCCGCUCUAUGACAUUCGCGAGAGAAACUGAGUGAUAACGUCAGGAAGAGUUGAUUUUAGGCAAAUUCUGGUUUUCUAAUAUGAAACUACGUCUUUGAUGGAUAUAAAGCUGCCGUGCCUUGUUGUGAUAUUGUGAUUGAGUAAUUCUGCUGUGGAGCGAUCUUGCAAUAUCCUUAAUUAUCGAUUGGGAUGAAUGAUCGAAUGAAUUAUUUCUUCUGGACUGCCUUAAAACAUUUCCGACAAUGUUAGGGUAGUCGAGCAUUGGGAGAUGUUUUUCUCAGUUAUGGUAAAUCGAAAUUUCGCCCGAACAGUGCUACCUUUGAGAACACGGCGAAAUGAAUGGGGUAUGUGUCCGCUAUCACCCUCCAUAUCAGAAGGAACUUAUGUAGUGAAUAGUACUGACUGUACUCGGUUCAUUGUAUGCAUAAAAAGCGCAACAUAUUCCUUCAAAUGCCCUGACUCUCUCUUCUUUCACCAAUCAACAGGUCGUUGUGACUAUGGUGAAGAUUUGGUCAUACCAGAAAAUUACUGUGAAUACGACGACAUGUACUACGAAAAAUCCCAUGUCUGCAAUUGCAACAAAUAUGUACUGUGUGCUUAUGGCGUACCGAAAGUCCUGACAUGUCCGUUUGGAUACCAUUUCAACCAAGAUCGAGAAAUGAUUCCACUGAACAAUGUGAGCGUCAGAAGUGUAGACCCCUGUUCCAGAGGAAGUUGUUAGAAUUCGAGUUUCUUUUGAGUGAAUAGAUGGUUUUCACAAGUA
Molecule: long non-coding RNA, 1171 nt
Filed under: Leptinotarsa decemlineata (Colorado potato beetle)
Lineage: Eukaryota; Metazoa; Arthropoda; Insecta; Coleoptera; Chrysomelidae
Description: uncharacterized LOC111515041, transcript variant X1
Source: RNAcentral